Non-coding RNA from Acanthosepion pharaonis, 110 nucleotides. The record is from the annotation of a GenBank genome assembly. NCBI's taxonomy places the organism in Eukaryota, Metazoa, Mollusca, Cephalopoda, Sepiida, Sepiidae.
UACAGCCAUAGCACGUAACACUAGUUAUCGUAUGAUCACCGAAGUUAAACAAGGUCGAGCCUGGUCAGUACCUAGAUAGGUGAUCGCUUGGGAAUACCAGGUGCUGUAAG